AGGCCUAAUACAUGCAAGUCGCACGGGAUCCGGGCUUCGGCCUGGUGAGAGUGGCGCACGGGUGAGUAACGCGUGGGAACCUACCCCGGGGUGGGGGAUAACCACUGGAAACGGUGGCUAAUACCGCACGAUCCCUAAGGGGCAAAGUCGCAAGACGCCCUGGGAGGGGCCCGCGUCCGAUUAGCUAGUUGGCGGGGUUACGGCCCACCAAGGCGAUGAUCGGUAGCUGGUCUGAGAGGAUGAUCAGCCACACUGGGACUGAGACACGGCCCAG
RNAcentral lists this ribosomal RNA (274 nucleotides) under uncultured bacterium. Its description in RNAcentral is "partial 16S ribosomal RNA". It matches the Rfam family "Bacterial small subunit ribosomal RNA", at positions 46 to 334 of the family's 1533-position model. The record is from RNAcentral.